GGGCCGGUAGAUCAGAUGGUAGAUCACUCGCUUGGCAUGCGAGAGGCCUCGGGUUCAAAUCCCGACCGGUCCA
Molecule: transfer RNA, 73 nt
Filed under: Methanomicrobia archaeon
Lineage: Archaea; Methanobacteriati; Methanobacteriota; Methanomicrobia
Also listed under: 3 other names
Description: tRNA-Ala
Rfam family: tRNA
About the family: Transfer RNA (tRNA) molecules are approximately 80 nucleotides in length. Their secondary structure includes four short double-helical elements and three loops (D, anti-codon, and T loops). Further hydrogen bonds mediate the characteristic L-shaped molecular structure. tRNAs have two regions of fundamental functional importance: the anti-codon, which is responsible for specific mRNA codon recognition, and the 3' end, to which the tRNAs corresponding amino acid is attached (by aminoacyl-tRNA synthetases). tRNAs cope with the degeneracy of the genetic code in two manners: having more than one tRNA (with a specific anti-codon) for a particular amino acid; and 'wobble' base-pairing, i.e. permitting non-standard base-pairing at the 3rd anti-codon position.
Source: RNAcentral